CAACGCUAUCUUAUUCAGAAUGGAGGACACCAAUGAGUCCAAUGACAUCACAAAGGUUCUCAACAUCAUCAACAACUUCCAGGCAUCAACCAUCUCUCCUGAUGAAAUCAUCGACGUUUCCCGUGACAGCCCUGAAUUCAAGAAUAGCGAGAGCUUGGUGGCUCCACGUUUCUGCAGAGUGGUUUGCAAGAGUGAAACCAGCAAACGCAAAUUAAUCUCCACAAGAAACUCACUCACCAAAAGCUGCACAAACCAUAAGAAACUUUGUUCACGGCCCAACCUAUCCAUACUACAAUGUGCCUGUGCCUGCAAGCUCUGAUCAAAGCUCAAAAAACACCAGGACCAAGGAAAGAUUGACCUAUACAUUGACUGUAUCAAAUGCAAGACCAGCGGCUCAUGUCCAAACAACUGCCCCCCCCCAACAAUCAAAACUAGGCAUGCACACCUCCAACUUCCUCCAGAUCCAUCCCUACAGACCUUAAAUGCAAGCUACUUAACGCAAGAAGCUUCGCAAACAAAAUGCCUGAAUUCCUCCUGCUACUAAAUAUGGCCCUAUUCUGUCUUAUCUUUGUCUGCAAGAUGUGGUUGAAUGUAUCCUUUCCAGACUCCAUUACCACAGCCUUGAAGUUACAGAGAAUUAGGACAAUCUCUUCAGAUUUUCCAUAGAUCCCAAUGGAGAAUGUAUUGGGAUCCAGAUGAUAUUGAAUCACUUCAAUCACUUCAUCACUGAAUUUGCUCCAUUUGUGAAAGUUAACAAAGCACUAAGAAAAAGAAUGACUCCUACUUUGGGAACAUGAUGCCUACCUUGGAGUUGGAAAGUUGCUCUGAUUAUAUAUUCUUUCUUGAAAGAAAUGCAGGUGGCCUUCAUGAUGUCAACAUUUAGAAAAUCAAAAAACAAGCCUGUUCACUUAGGAGUGUGUACUCUCUUAUUUUUUUCUGAAAGAGGAAUGGAGCUUUUCUGAUACAUUGAAUAUUUAAAGACUAAGAAUUUGCAAGACGAAGCAAAGACUGCCUCCUGCGAUAAGAGGAAUUAUUGUUGUGAAGAAUUCCUUUAAGAUUCAAUCUUAAUCAUUUUGCUAUUGAAAUGGAAGAAUAAAGUAAUAUGAGGUUUGAAUAGA
Pantherophis guttatus is the source of this 1118-nucleotide long non-coding RNA. RefSeq lists it as uncharacterized. The record is from RefSeq and is a predicted model, not a curated record. Lineage: Eukaryota; Metazoa; Chordata; Lepidosauria; Squamata; Colubridae.